UACAACUUUCAACAACGGAUCUCUUGGCUCUCGCAUCGAUGAAGAACGCAGCGAAAUGCGAUAAGUAAUGUGAAUUGCAGAAUUCAGUGAAUCAUCGAAUCUUUGAACGCACCUUGCACCCUUUGGUAUUCCGAAGGGUAUGCCUGUUUGAGUGUCAUUAAAUUAUCAAA
RNAcentral lists this ribosomal RNA (170 nucleotides) under Resupinatus conspersus. RNAcentral's name for it is "5.8S ribosomal RNA". It matches the Rfam family "5.8S ribosomal RNA". Rfam says of the family: 5.8S ribosomal RNA (5.8S rRNA) is a component of the large subunit of the eukaryotic ribosome. It is transcribed by RNA polymerase I as part of the 45S precursor that also contains 18S and 28S rRNA. The record is from RNAcentral. Lineage: Eukaryota; Fungi; Basidiomycota; Agaricomycetes; Agaricales; Resupinataceae.